AGACCCGAAACCCGGUGAUCUAGCCAUGGGCAGGUUGAAGGUUGGGUAACACUAACUGGAGGACCGAACCGACUAAUGUUGAAAAAUUAGCGGAUGACCUGUGGCUGGGGGUGAAAGGCCAAUCAAACCGGGAGAUAGCUGGUUCUCCCCGAAAGCUAUUUAGGUAGCGCCUCGUGAAUUCAUCUCCGGGGGUAGAGCACUGUUUCGGCUAGGGGGCCAUCCCGGCUUACCAACCCGAUGCAAACUGCGAAUACCGGAGAAUGUUAUCACGGGAGACACACGGCGGGUGCUAACGUCCGUCGUGAAGAGGGAAACAACCCAGACCGCCAGCUAAGGUCCCAAAGUCAUGGUUAAGUGGGAAACGAUGUGGGAAGGCCCAGACAGCCAGGAUGUUGGCUUAGAAGCAGCCAUCAUUUAAAGAAAGCGUAAUAGCUCACUGGUCGAGUCGGCCUGCGCGGAAGAUGUAACGGGGCUAAACCAUGCACCGAAGCUGCGGCAGCGAACGUAUCACCCAAGACAACUUUACGGAGUUGACGAUUGACGGAGCGAAGCGACGUCAAAGCGUUCAUUAAAGUCGAGUUGGCUUAGGGA
This 591-nucleotide ribosomal RNA is filed under the name Salmonella enterica. RNAcentral's name for it is "partial 23S ribosomal RNA". It matches the Rfam family "Bacterial large subunit ribosomal RNA", at positions 711 to 1235 of the family's 2925-position model. RNAcentral also lists the same sequence under 4 other names. The record is from RNAcentral. Lineage: Bacteria; Pseudomonadati; Pseudomonadota; Gammaproteobacteria; Enterobacterales; Enterobacteriaceae.